CUCAAAGAUUAAGCCAUGCAUGUCUCAGUAUAAACGAUUUAACAGUGAAACCGCGAACGGCUCAUUACAACAGGUAUAAUUUACUUGAUCUUGAAAGAAUCCUACUUGGAUAACUGUGGUAAUUCUAGAGCUAAUACAUGCCCUAAAGCUCUGACCUCGCGGGAAGAGUGCAUUUAUUAGAUCAAAACCAAGCGGCUUCGGCCGUCUACCACUGACUUAAAGUAACUAAGCUGAUCGUAUGGUCUUGUACCGACGACGUAUCUUUCAAGUAUCUGCCUUAUCAACUUUCGAUGGUAGUGUAGUGGACUACCAUGGUUGUGACGGGUAACGGAGGAUAAGGGUUCGACUCCGGAGAGGGAGCUUGAGACACGGCUACCAUGUCUAAGGACAGCAGCAGGCGCGCAAAUUACCCACUCUCAGAACGAGGAGGUAGUGACGAAAAAUAACGAGACCGUUCUCUAUGAGGCCGGUCAUCGGAAUGGGUACAAUCUAAACCCUUUAACGAGUAUCUAUGAGAGGGCAAGUCUGGUGCCAGCAGCCGCGGUAAUUCCAGCUCUCAAAAUGCAUAGAAUUAUUGCUGCGGUUAAAAAGCUCGUAGUUGGAUCUGUGCUGGGAACUGGGUCCGCCUUCGGGUGUGCACUCAGCUUCCCGGCUUUUUGCUGGUUUUCCCGUUGUGGCCUUUACCGGUUGCAGCGGGUGGCUGGCGAGUUUACCUUGAAGAAAUCAAAGUGCUUAAUACAGGCGAUUUGCUUGAAUGUGGUGCAUGGAAUAAUAGAAAAGGAUUUCGGUUCUCUUUUAUUGGUUUUACGAGCUGAGAUAAUGGUUAACAGAGACAAACGGGGGCAUUCGUAUCGUUGCGUGAGAGGUGAAAUUCUUGGACCGCAGCGAGACGAACUACAGCGAAAGCAUUUGCCAAGAAUGUCUUCAUUAAUCAAGAACGAAAGUCAGAGGUUCGAAGGCGAUCAGAUACCGCCCUAGUUCUGACCGUAAA
This 991-nucleotide ribosomal RNA is filed under the name Aphelenchus avenae. RNAcentral's name for it is "SSU rRNA". It matches the Rfam family "Eukaryotic small subunit ribosomal RNA", at positions 36 to 1036 of the family's 1831-position model. The record is from RNAcentral. Lineage: Eukaryota; Metazoa; Nematoda; Chromadorea; Rhabditida; Aphelenchidae.